Molecule: long non-coding RNA, 564 nt
Filed under: Callithrix jacchus (white-tufted-ear marmoset)
Lineage: Eukaryota; Metazoa; Chordata; Mammalia; Primates; Cebidae
Description: lncRNA (ENSCJAG00000072370.1)
Source: RNAcentral
GGCCUCCCAAAGUGCUGGGAUUACAGGUGUGAGCCACAAUACCCAGCUAAUUUUUUUGUAUUUUUUUUAGUAGAGACAGGGUUUCACCAUGUUGGCCAGACUGGUCUCAAACUCCUGACCUCAGGGAAUGGGCCUGCCUCGGCCUCCCAAAGUUUUGGGAUUACAGGCAUGAGCAACCACGCCUAGCCCCUUCUUCUUCUUUUUAAUCUCCCUUUUCUCUUUUCUUUCUGUGUUAUCAAAUGCUAGCUCCCCGAAGUGUCACCGAAACAAUCGUUGGCAAGCACACAAAGCCCUGUAGAUGCUGACUCUAAGGAAGAAGAGGCAGAGGGAGGAGGACAAAGCCGGCAUCUUUAUUGAGAUUCAAGGGUAAAACCCUUAUUCCAGGCCUAUGUUUGUCUAGUUUCAGCUGAUGACACCAGACACAUUUACCACAGCUUGGCUUUGGCAACAGAGUCCUAGGGUCAGACCCAAACUAGCAGCUGUGCAGACAGAGAGCGGAGAUUUGGGAAGCUCACAUAUUCAGGAGGUACCCGGUAUUCACGAGGCUGAAGUCUGCAUCUACUG